RNAcentral lists this transfer RNA (23 nucleotides) under Portulaca granulatostellulata. Its description in RNAcentral is "Portulaca oleracea subsp. granulatostellulata partial tRNA-Thr". Lineage: Eukaryota; Viridiplantae; Streptophyta; Magnoliopsida; Caryophyllales; Portulacaceae. The record is from RNAcentral.
CCGAUAAGGGGCUUUUGAGUUUU